AUUAUACAACUCAAUGAGUUCUGGAUACUCCUUGUAGCAGUUGACGAACUUCUCCAGAAAUUGUUUCUCUGGAUAUUUCAUGUAUGAAAAUAUACUAAGGUUACUGAUGCAAACUCCCCUAGACUUCAGACCUGUCACAAUCCGAUGCCUUGGCAUCAACCUUUUCUCCAAACUCAACAACAAUAAAUCUGGCCGAAAUGCAAGAUAAGAUGGAGUACAUCCGGCUUCAUUUACCAAGAACUCCAUCUUCCUCUGCAAACUCUUUAAAGAAAAUCGCACAAACGUAGGAGCCUUUCUGAAUGCAGCAAGGAAAUCAUCCUCGGACCACCCGAAGCCCUUGAAGAACUCCAAGUGAGCCUUGAAGUUAUUCUCGGAGACGCUCUGGAGCACACUCAGGAUCACGAGGAACAUCCCCGAGGUGCGAGGUACUCCCAAAACCUCGACACGGCUGAUUAACGCCUUCAGGGUUUCAGCAUUCCGGGUUAUGAGGAGGGGAUAUUGCCGUAGGAUCAUUGAGAGCUUCUGAUCCGUCAUCCCGCAAUCCCUUAGAAUUUCAAUGUUAGGCUGGAUCGUCUUCUCGAUGCUAUACCCGAGUAACCACCUGUUUCUCUUCCAUAUCUUCAUCAGUAAGUCGUUGGACCCGAGGAGGCCUUGCCAUAAUUGGAUCUUCGACAAGAUGGUCUGGGAAUUGUCGCUGAUGACGUCGUUANNNNNNNNNNNNNNNNNNNNNNNNNNNNNNNNNNNNNNNNNNNNNNNNNNNNNNNNNNNNNNNNNNNNNNNNNNNNNNNNNNNNNNNNNNNNNNNNNNNNNNNNNNNNNNNNNNNNNNNNNNNNNNNNNNNNNNNNNNNNNNNNNNNNNNNNNNNNNNNNNNNNNNNNNNNNNNNNNNNNNNNNNNNNNNNNNNNNNNNNNNNNNNNNNNNNNNNNNNNNNNNNNNNNNNNNNNNNNNNNNNNNNNNNNNNNNNNNNNNNNNNNNNNNNNNNNNNNNNNNNNNNNNNNNNNNNNNNNNNNNNNNNNNNNNNNNNNNNNCGGCGGAAUAAGAAUGGGUUGCGAGAAAAAGGGCAGCAUCGGCCGGACGACAGCAAGGGACGAAGGCAAGGGCUUUGGACAAGAGAGAGACGUAGGGCGACCUAUUCAUCAAUGUCAUCGUCUUCUUCUUCUUCUUCUUCUUCUUCUUUGUAGGUUCCUUCUCUUUACCAAAACCUAGCGAAGGUGGCGUAGCUGCGUAUAGAGGAGCGCGUUUAGGCCGGAAGUACCUGCGUCUUAAACCCUAGAAGUGCGUUACCGUGUUCGACAUUUUUUUUUCGGGCGGAGAUUACUGCGACCGCAGGCAUCUUUUUUUUCUUCGUCAACUUUUAGUUUGUUGAGGGGAGAAAAAACUUUUAUUGCGUGCCAACUAAAGAUAAUAAAAGGUGUUCUUUUAGAAAAAAGUUGCACUAUUAUUUUUUUAUCUUGGGUGUAUUUUUUAUAGUUAGAACAAAAAUAUACCCUUAAUCUUCUAUUAAAAAUGACUUGAUCAGCUAUUAAAAAAUUGAUAAUUAAUUAUCAAACAAAUUUUAAAAAAUAUAAAAAGCUAUACUAAUCAUUUUAAAAUCAAUAGAUAUGUAUCGAAGAUGAUUAAUAUCUAUUUUUUAUUUUAAAAACUUUAUAAUUAAUUAUCAAAUUAUAAUUUAUUUAAAUAAUAUAUAUGAUUAAGUCACAUAAGUUAAAAAUAUAAGAGUGUUUUUUGUCUAUAUAAAAAAUACCUAAGUAAAAAUGAAUAUGGAGGAUUUCAUCGAUAAAAAAAACUAAUACUAAAAAUUAUUUUUUUUAUAAAAGACCCAACAUAAAUGAAUGAAUGUUAUAAAAUAACUUAUUCGUCAUAAAAUUUGAUGGAUUAAUACAUAUGCUACUCUAAUUAUCAAGUUAAAGUUAAUAAUAAAAAAUUCAUGUAAUCUUUAAUGUCAUCGUAACCAUCAACUAUUUAUGAUGUGAAUGGAAAACCUACUCAUUAUUCACUUAAAAAUCUAUUCAAUAGAUUUUCACCGUAUAGGGAACCAAUAGAGACUCACAAACACGUCGACUAUCUUGCUACUGAGAAUUAAUACAAACAUAUGCUAACUAUGAAACAAAGCCCAAGGCAACUUCUAUCUAGAAAUUAAUAAUCAUUAGAUGAUCAUAUUCAUACUAAAAAUAGAAAGUCAUUCAUCUCAUUAAGAAGGUGCACCUUGAUAAUUACUUUUGAUUUAGAAUCGAUUAUAUUUGAUUUAACAUAUUGACAAGCAUUGUAAUUGUUAUGAAUAUCCUUCUACGGAAUCAAAUAGUUUGCAUAAUAUAUCUCACAUUUAUAAAGGCUUCUUCUCAUAUUUAUUAUUUUUCAAUAUCGAAGAAUUAUUCUGUCAGCUUAAGGGAUUUAUACUUGAUCUAGCAGGCUCUUUAUGCAAAGUAACUCAAAAUCUCUUUUCAAUUUGUAUCUCAAAAUUGUUAUAAUACCUGACUGUUUUUAAUGGUUCUUUAUAAUUGAAUAAGAUAUAUAAUAAAAUUAAUUAGAUUUUGAUAACGGAUAUUAGUUAAUAGAAAGAAGUAUCAAAAUAGGGCCAAGUGGGAAAAUAUCUUAUUAAUUAAUGAGUUAAGUGAGAGAAUAUCAAAAUAUAUGACCCUUUAUAAUUAAAUAAGAUAUCUAAUAAAACCGAUUGAAUUCUGAUAACGGAUAUUAGCUAAUAGAAAGGAAGUUGAUAUUAUAAUAUGAUUCCUUAUGGUACGCACUUGAUGAGAGGACUCUCAUAAUUACUUAUCAUAUACCCUCUAAUCUCGCAUAUAAAUAGAUAGAACCUCCUAGGUCUAAUGACAUGAUGUUUAUGUGACGUGAUGAUCGUGGACACAUACAUAAGAUACGAUAGGUGACAUUGAGAGAUUACGGUUCCUUUCUCAUCAUCUCUUAUCACUGAACUAUCAAUAACUAUAGUCUUGUGAAAAUGUAGACAGAGAUGGGAAGUGUUUAGUUCUCUUUGUAGAUCAAUAUUUGAUAUAGAUGUUUUUGCUCCACACAAACUCAUCUGCCACUAAGGCCAACAAGAGAGUUCCAGGUCACCAGCUCCAAAAUGGCACCAUAGUACAUUCUGAUAACCAUCCUACUUUAUUAAGAUCAAAGAAUGAUCAGGUGAUUCAACUAAUCUUAUCCAAGGCUAGCUAAUAAAAGGCCUAGGGAUUAAGUAUAAAAAAGAAACUCAUUAACUCAAGCUAAGAGGGGGGACUUUCUACGUACUAACCUAGUUAUACAACUUACACCACUAUCUUUUCCCUUUCGCUGACUUAAGCAUCGGAAGGGAUGCGUUGGGCAACUCCCAAUACUGGCCUAUCAUGCAAGAUUGCUAAUGGCCAAGAGACGACAUCACUCUUAGGAUGCAGCCAUGCAACCACGAGACAAUCCUUCAUUCGAGGACACAUGGAUGACCCAACCCCAGGGAAGAACGUCGCAACCAAGAAGACUCCAAACCCCCUACCCGAUCAUCCCGAAUCGGGUCCUCACCAAUAGAACGAUGUCUGAUCGGACCGCCUAUGUUGUCUCACUCAUCGGGUCACCCACAUCAGUCAAGAAAAGGCACCUGGGUAAACUUGCACCUUCGAUAGUGGAUCAACCGUGUUGAGUUAUUAGUCGAUGGUACUCAUGACACCAUCAAUAUCCUUAUAAUAUUUGAAUAUGAGGAUGGUGAUCCUACAUAGAUAGAGAAUUUUUUAGAUGACUUUGAAAGGUGUGUAAUAAAAUCUAAUAUAUCUUAUUUGAUUUCAAUCCCGAUAUUAAAAUUAAUAUAUAGCAUAUAAUAUAUUUUAUGCUUGGAACUUGCUAUGUGUCCUCUUUCCCUCUUCUUUCUACCCUUUACAUCUCUCUACAAUAAUCAUUAUUACAAUCCAAAAGCUAACCGUAAAUUAAGCAAAAGAGGUAAAUGGAACAAAAAACCACUUUUGGGACCCUGCCCUGUUUCUAUGUUGUCCCAAAAAGCCAAGUACCUAAAAAGCUUUUUCUUUGUCUCUAGAAUAGCUAAACAUGGCCAAAUUAAGUUGAGAUUUUGGCAGCAGAGAAGAGCGGAACAUAACUAAAACUUGUGCAAAACCAAGUGAAGAAUUGGUAAAUGAGUGCUUAUAUUUUACCUUGAUUUAAAGUAUCGAUGCUGAACCCACAUCUUGCCAAUGAAGUAUAAUGAAUUCAACCUCAAUCGUAAAGUAAGAACAGGAGGUAAAAGAAUGAACGCCAACCAUGGCCAUUUGCAAAGGAGAUGAUCAAACGAAUCCUUGCGUGCUAGGAGAUUGGAGGUGGGUUAAGCCAACACCAUCAUCCACAUACCCAAUAAUUACGCUCAGGUUAGAUAAGAUUCCAUGAGAAACUCACAUGCCUCAUUACGGUUAACUUGUUAGAUUUACCACUUCGUUUGGAUCAGAAGAUAAAUCCAUCCAGUAGAUAACAAGGAUUUGAAGCCCUUGCUCUGUGUAUGUAAUCUCUAGUGUGUUGUCAGAUCUAAGUCGAGGAAGAUAAAAGACACGAGAUGUAUGAGUUGAUAUAUCAUAUGCUUAAGAAAGUUCAAAAUAAUUUCUCAUGAUUUUCCAUUAGAUUAUUGUGGAAUUCCAAGUCGUAGACAAAGCAUGUACCUUUUGGAGUUCUUCGUACGUACACAAUAUCUUGUGACAGACAUCUUUAUUAAGAUCUUUGGUUAUUUGCAGACAAAAGAUAAGUACUGCACAGACGAAGGAUCAUAAGCACACUUCGUUAACCCAAGAAACCUGACUGAUUUGUACUCAUGUAAAGACUGAUCAUAAAGUAAGCAUUCUAAACCGUGCACUGAGAUGGAGCAUUGUGGUGAUGAGAUUAAACUGACUAACCCAGAAUUAAAAAGUAAAGAUUUAAUUUCUACAAUGAAAAUGAUGGAAGAGGUGCUAAUAACUUGUGAAAUGUGUAUGCUUUGAUAUGCAUUUGAUGGAGUUGUGUGCAUGCAUCAAAACCAAAUUUCAGUUGUCAGAUAUCAUUACUGAUUUGUUGGUAAUUAGUUCCACAAAUUGUUAUACCAGCUUGGGAAAAGAAUCUGUACAUGUCAUAACAUGUUAGAACAAUAAACACCAUGAUCUUAUAAAAGAAAAGUACUCGUUCUUUAAUCCUAUGUGGAAGGUCUCAUAAAAAACUUGAACAAUUUUAUGAAAAAACUUCACAUUUUAUUUUUUUAAAAAAAAUUGUAAAUAUUUUUCCCUUUUUUUUUUUCCGAACAUGAGCAUAUUGAUCCAAAAUGGUGCACUAAUCUAAAUAGAUAGAUUUGAUCAUUUAAGGCUGGGAGUCCAUUUAGAUGAUUUAUAAUAUUUAUAAAUAGAUUUUAUAGUAUUUUUGUUGUGAUGAUCGAAACAUUAUAAAAGGUUAAACAUUAUAGGCUUGUAAUUAGUUUGAUUGAGGUUUAGUUUAUUUAUGGUAUGCUUUACAAUAUUUUUCAUGGCUAAUAAAAACAUUAUAAUAAACUAAUUUUUUACUCCUAUUUGGAUGAUAUUAUUAUUAAAUUAUUAUAAAUACAUAGUAUGAUAUAUCAAAUUAUUUCUAGUGUGUUUGGAUUUCUCAGUUAUAGUAUUUUUAAAUAACGUUAUAGUGUUUUUGUAAGGUGUAAAGCCAUUGAAAAAUAGUAUUUUUCAAUUGUUCAUCUUUGAUUAUCAUUGAUCGUAGAUCAUUACAGCCUAUAGUUGGUUUGACCGAGUCCAUUUGGGUCAUUUAUAAUAUUUUUAUUAUUAUGAUCAAAAUACUAUAAAAAUUAAUUUUUGAUCCUCAGUAAUGAUCAUGCUACUGUACAAAACCAAUCAAUCAACUUGGAUUCACACACCUAUAGAUCGGUCUAAAAGGUAUCCAUGAAAUUAGCGGGAAAAAUAUCAUUGAGACCGGUAAGAGAUACUUUCGGUAUUAUUCAAAAUAGAAGGGAGAAACAUGAGACAUAAUUUAGAAUAAUAAUAAUAAUAAUAAUAAUAAUAAUAAUAAUAAUAAUAAUAAUAAUAAUAAUAAUAAUAAUAAUAAUAAUAAUAAUAAAAGAGAGCUUUUGCUGACAAACAAAUUCCUUGAUUUGUGCGCUGUAGUUGUAGGGUCAUUUAGACUUUGCAGCAUCAGAGAGUUCCCCUCUUCCCAACUCCUGUUUACUUAACAAUGAGCAUGAAUAUACGCCUACGACCAAAAAUUCCAUUUGGCGCCCGCAAAAUAUGGCUGCAGAAACUAAAUCCGGUGAAGAAAUGAAUGCCAUUUGCCCUUCACUUGCAUCUCAUAGGAGCAAAAGAAGGGGAAAAGAAUCUGGGCAUAAAAUCUAGUUAGCUAGAGUUUGGAUGCUUUCAUCUCAAGAAAUCUCUCUUUUUAUAUUUUCUUAAAGUUCAGUAGAUUCAAUGUAGAAGGCAUUGCAAUUUUCUACCUGUUUCUUCCUUUCUAUCUUUUCUUUUGGAAAAACAAAAGGAUGGCCAGAAUAUGCACAUUUUGGUUAUAUAUUCUCAACAAUGAUGAGAAUAAGAACAAUGAUAUGACUGCAGACAGGACCAAUAUCUAUGUUUUCAGAAAAUACAACCGAUAAGUCGUCAAAUGAACAGCAGUGCUGUGUGCAUUAGUCUUUAUAAAGUAUAAAUUCCACAUCAUACUUCACUUGAUCUCCAUCAAUAUGGUGGAAACAAAUUUAAAAGAAAGUUCAGUUUGAUAUGAUGUAAAACAAGAUAUCUCAUUCUUUGUUUGAUCUAAUUACAAAAAGUUAUGCUCAGAUCUAUAUCAUUUCUUAGUCUAGAGUAUAUUUGAACACACAACAAUAACAUUAAUUGCAAGCCAUAAUGAGCAGAUGUUGCCAAUCAGAAAUCUUAAAUUCGGGAAGCAGGGAUGAUACCGCAUUACCAACAAAACCUGAUAAUAACGAUUAAAAAUAAAUUGAUCUUGUUUAGCAAGCAAUUUUAGAGGGCAUAAAAUCCUAGAACAUAUAUAGUUCUACAAGUUGAAAGGAUCUCAGUCCUUUUAGAGACAAAAUCCCCCACAAAAAGUAUCAAGCCUUGCAAACAGCAUCAGUCUUUUCCUACUGAAAGAACCUGACCCUAUCCAGCAGCUAGUUCUGAGGCAGUACAGUACAUGUAUAAUUCUUCGCUGAUAACGACUCAAGCCUUUGUUAGGAAAACAUCUCUACGAUGAUCAACAUGCGAUAGGGUGCAAGUCAUCUAAAACUUCUCUUGAUCCCGAUAACUCAACAGGAGUAAGCAGUGCUUCAGUUUAAUUUAACCAAGUACCUACCUGCCAGAGACACUGCUGUUAAUUCUCCAAGGCCAAUAAUGUAUGAAUACCUAAGAAAAAGCACAAUGCAAAAGAUUGGAACUAGGACACAUACAACAUUUACUGGAGAUUAGCAUGCUACAAUACCUCAGGGAAGUUAUAUUGACGUAUUUGUCCAGAGACAACAAAACAACAAAGUCUUAAGAAAAGGAACACACCAAAAUAUUAAAAAUCGGACGAAUGGCUGAGACUAUCAUGCUAUACUACAACAGAAUAGCAUAUAUAAGAAUCUGGAGAACCAAGGGCUGGAAUCAAAUUUGAGAUUACAUGUUGCCAUUAGGCAAUAUAUUUAGAGAUGCCCUAUUGUCACAUUGAAGCACAAGUUUGUAACAUAAAAACAACCUGCAUAAUUUGACAUAUUAACUAGACUUCCAGAUCACAUUUUUGUUUGAUAGCUAUUACAGCUUUGACAAAAAUAAGACACCGAACAAAGGAUGCAAAAGAAACAUAUAGUAGCAAAAGCCAAAAAUGUUGAAAUGUGGAUUUUCAUAGUACAUAAACCAGUAUAACUACAUAUCAUAAAUAUAACCAAAGAUUCUAACGGUUAGAAAUAUCUUGACUUCAGUCUGACUGUGGGUAAAAUACAUUUCAGGAAGGCUGAAAUUGGUGUCAUCUGACAGCGGACAAAAUACAUUUUGGGAAGGGGGAAAUUGGCCUACAAGAAGUCAGCAAGUCUCAUUUCUCUUUCAUUACCUGAAGGCUGGCAAUGGUUGAAUUCUCCCUAGCAAAGUAACUCCUAGAAUUAUAUUUCCUUUUCCAAUUUGUUCAACAUAUCCUUACUAAUGUAAUCAAACUAGCACACUGCAGAUGCCAACCUCUGGAAGGUAACACAUACUAAAAGAGCAAUUUCCAAGAACCUUGUUAAUCCACUUCUUUUGCACCAAACACUCUGCAAAUGGAGCUAACACCCCAAGUAUUUUUUAUUGAUAAGAACAAUUUAUGAUCGAUACAAGACAACCUCUGGACAGUAACACCUACUAAAAUAUCAAUUUCCUAGAUCACUGCUAAUCCGCUUCUUUUGCACCAAACACCCUGCAUAUGGAGCUAACAAUCAAGUACUUUUGAUUGAUAAGAACAUUUUAUGCACUGAACACUCAAUAUGACCCAACCCAAAAAAUGAGAGGAUCGCACCCUCCGGAAAUUUAUGAUCCCGACAUCUGUAACGCACAGAGCACAAUAAUAAUAUUCAUUGACAAUAACUGAAAAUACAUCCCAUCAAGUGUCAUCAUUAUUACUGGAGUAAACAUCUAACUAUACUUUUAUUAAAUAUCAUAUAACAAUCUUCACCUUGCUAGAAUCGAACACUUCUCAAUCCAUAGUUCCCCAGCUACGGAUCAUCUGAAAUAUGUAAUUUUCAGAUCGAUAGGGAUUAUCUUAGUAGAAACAAGAUGUCAAGAAAUCUAGUUGUCUCAUGCAAUCAGCAAAAGAUAAGAAUAAUAAUGAAAAAAGAGUAUAACUUAGAAUAAAAGAUCUCACAAAUUCAUCAUGAGAAAAGCACAUCCAUUAGUGCACUUUGCUGCAUCGGAACUCGUCCGACUGCUCAGGAUGAAGCAACCUCCUUAUAGACUAAAUUCAUAUCACAUUCCCUGCUAUUAGUCCAUUACUAGGAUCAAGUGGUGCCCGGCAACAGUAGAAAUACGUCUUUCUAUGGAUGCAAGGAAUAUCUUAUAAGCUUCUAUGACGACUACUAAUCCCUUUCAAAAUUGCCUACUAAUCAUGACAAUGUUGUUCAAUCAUCCAUAUAUGUAUAUAUCAACAUGCUGCACAACCAUGCAACAACAUCCUUUCACAUGCUCAAGCGUCCAACUUAUGCAUCAUGGCACUUCUAACAAAUAUUAAUUAUAGGCUACAAUAGAGGCAUCAAUAUAAAAUUGAUUGCCAAAAGAAAUAUGAUCUAAUAACAGCAUAUUAAAAUUUCAUCAUGUCAGCAUAAAGAGAAUCUAGGUUUUAUGAGGCACCUAACACUAUAUUGAUCAUCCAAAUUGGAUACAGAGUCCAAAAAAGUUAUUAUUGAUUUACAAUUCAGUCCUCAAAAUUUACAAUCAUUUCUUCAAUACAUUGCAAACCAGUCCCUAGCAGUCUUAAUGGGCAGGACCUUAGGCAGCCACGUGGAACUUGGUCUCACAGGCAGGACCACAUGGAGUUGGCCUGUCUGAGCUGAAGUGCAUGAAGUUUAGACCACCCCCGUACUCAAAUGCUUAAAUUGGUAAAGGACAACUUGUACAUUCCAGUGCUUAAAUUGAGAACAAAACAUUGGCAAUACGGAAAGUGUGGUUUCCUUCAUAAAUCUAAGAGUUUCAACUUCAUUCUCAAGAAGACGGUCAGCUUCAAACUAUCAUGGUGGAAACCUGGUAUUCAUUAAGGUUUUGCAUUUAUAAAGAGAGAAAUUUCAACUGAAUUGACCGAUCAGCAAGAAGAAAGAAGUGGUUCAAACUAAUCACUUAAGAAAGAGAACAAAAUUUGAUAAACAAAAUAUACAAAAAAUUGAAACCCAACCUCAUUUCCCUUUUUUGGGUUUCGGGUUUGGUUUUGGAAUGGAGGGACUUUAGUAAAUUUAUAUAAAAGGUGACCAACCCUUGCCCUAAAUCAAAAGCCUCAUCAUCCAGCUCAAAAUCACCAAAGCAUCCAACCAUACCAUCCAAAAGAAUCCUACUUCUUAUCAUUUGAAAAAAUUAACCAAAACUCGAAACCUAAAUUACCAAAUAUCCGAAGUCAAAUCAAUUCAAAACUUCAGGUGUCCAAUAACCUACAUAAGUCUGAUAUCUUCCAGUAGACUUAAAACAAAUAGGACAAGAAUAACAAUUCUAUGUGGCGUCUACACAAGUGAUUAUAAACAAGCAAUUAACUCUAUCGGCAAUUUCAUCACAAAUCUUCUCAACAUUCUUCAUUUUCUUACUACGUGUAAGCAUCCAAACUCAUAUUACAUUCACAGAAACGAAGUAAAUGGCAGGAAUUAUUUGGUCGCAAACUGUAGAUCAUGUUAUGCGGAUAGUGGAAAAUUGGAACCUGGAAACAUAACUUGCUGGUACAAAAGCUUGUGCUAUGCAUUAUGCAUUUCCACGAUCAAAUGCAGUGAUGUUUUUGGGGACUCCAUUAUACAACUCAAUGAGUUCUGGAUACUCCUUGUAGCGGUUGACGAACUUCUCCACAAAUUUCUUCUCUGAAUAUUUCACGUAUGUAGACAUACUAAGGUUACUGAUGCAAACUCCCCUAGACUUCAGGCCUGUCACAAUCUGAUGCCUUGGCAUCAACCUUUUCUCCAAACUGCACAACAAAAUAUCUGGCCGAAGUGCAAUAUGAGAUGGAGCACAUCCGGCUUCAUUUACCAAGAACUCCAACUUCCUCUGCAAACUCUUUAAAGAAAUUUGCACAAACGUAGGAGCCUUUCUGAAUGCAGCAAGGAAAUCAUCCUCGGACCACCCGAAGCCCUCGAAGAACUCCAAGUGAGCCUUGAAGUUAUUCUCGGAGACGUUGUGGAGCACAGUCAGGGUCAAGGGGAACAUCCCUGAGGUGCAAGCUACUCCCAAACCCUCGGCACGACUGAUUAACGCCUUCAGGGUUUCAGCAUUCCGGGUUAUGAGGAGAGGAUAUUGCCUUAGGAUCAUUGAGAGCUUCUGAUCCGUCAUCCCGCAAUCCCUUAGAAUUUCAAUGUUAGGCUGGAUCGUCUUCUCGAUGCUAUACCCGAGAAACCUCCUGUUUUUCUUGCACAAGUUCAUCAGUAAGUCGUUGGACCCGAGGAGGCCUUGCCAUAAUUGGAUCUUGGACAAGAUGGUCUGGGAUUUGUCGCUGAUGACGUCGUUAUUCGAUCUGACGAGGUGGGUGAUGUCGGAGCAGGAGAAGCCCAGAUCCUGCAAAGCUCGGAACUUUGGGGCCAGGGUCUUCUCCACGUCGAGGAGAAGCCACCGGGGGUUUGCAGAUAUGACCUUUUUCACCUGGGUGUUGUCAAAACCGUAGCUUUUAAAAAAGCCAAGGACGGAGUCAGGCUGGUGGCGGGAUUCGACGCGACCAAGGAGCUUCGAGGCUUUGGCCGCCUGAUCAGGAUGGAAGCCACAGUAGCUGACCAGGUAUUCAGCCAUAAGGCUGCUCUCUGGAGCACCGGAGGCGGCGGAAUAAGAAUGGGUUGCGAGAAAAAGGGCAGCAUCGGCCGGACGACAGCAAGGGACGAAUGCAAGGGCUUUGGACAAGAGAGAGACGUAGGGCGACCUAUUCAUCAAUGUCAUCGUCUUCUUCUUCUUCUUCUUCUUCUUUGUAGGUUCCUUCUCUUUACCAAAACCUAGCGAAGGUGGCGUAGCUGCGUAUAGAGGAGCGCGUUUUGGCCGGAAGUACCUGCGUCUUAAACCCUAGAAGUGCGUUACCGUGUUCGACAUUUUUUUUUUCUGGCGGAGAUUACUGCGACCGCAGGAGUCUUUUUUUUCUUUGUCAACUUUUAGUUUGUUGAGGGGAGAAACAACUUUUAUUGCGUGCCAACUAAAGAUAAUAAAAGGUGUUCUUUUAGAAAAAAUUUGCACUAUUAUUUUUUUAUCUAGGGUUUAUUUUUUAUAGUUAGAACAAAAAUAUACCCUUAAUCUUCUAUUAAAAAUGACUUGAUCAGCUAUUAAAAAAUUGAUAUCAAAAAUUUUUAAAAAAAUAUAAAAAGCUAUGCUAAUCAUUUUAAAAUCAAUAGAUAUGCAUCGAAGAUGAUUAAUAUCUAUUUUUAUUUUAAAAAUUUUUAUAAUUAAUUAUCAAAUUAUAAUUUAUUUAAAUAAUAUCUAUGAUUAAGUCACAUAAGUUAAAAUAUAAGAGUGUUUUUUGUCUAAAUAAAAAUACCUAAAUAAAAAUGAAUAUGGAGGGUUUCAUCGAUAAGAAAACUAAUACUAUAAAUUAUUUUUUUAUAAAAGACCCGACAUACAUGAAUGAAUGCUAGAAAACAACUAAUCCAUCAUAAAAUUUGAUGAACUAAUACAUAUGUAUUCUAAUUAUCAAGUUAAAGUCAACAAUAAAAAAUUCAUGUAAUCUUUAAUGCCAUCAUAACCAUCAACUAUUUAUGAUGUGAAUGGCAAAACCGCUCAUUGUUCACUUAAGAAUCUACUCAUUAGAUUUUCACUAGAUAGAGAACAGACAACAACUCGUAAACAUGUCAACUAUCUUACUAGAAACAUACACUAUCUAUGAAACAAUGCCCAAGGCAACUUCUAUCUAGAAAUUAAUAAUAAUUAGAUGAUCAUGUUCACACUCAAAAUAGAAAGUCAUUCAUCCUAUAAUCAUUAACUUAUUAUAUCCAUACCAAGAUUAAGAAAGUAUCCCGAUGAUUAACAUUGAUUUAGAUUCGAUUAUAUUUGAUUUAACAUAUUGACAAAUAUUGUAAUUGGUAUAUAUAUCCUUCGACGGAAUCAAAUAAUUUGGGUAAUAUAUCUCACGGCUAAUUCUCACUCUUUAUUAUUUUUCAAUAUCGAAAAAUUAUUCUGUCAGUUUAAGGGAUAUAUACUUGAUCUAGCUAGCUCUUUAUACAAAGUAACUCAAAAUCUCUUUUCAAUUUAUCAUCUCAAAAUUAUUAGAAUACAUGACUCUUUAUAAUUGAAUAAGAUAUAUAAUAAAAUUAAUUAGAUUUUAAUGACGAAUAUUAGUCAAUAGAAAGAAAUAUCAAAAUAUGUGCCAAGUGAGAGAAUAUCUUAUAAAUUAAUGGGCUAAGUGAGAGAAUAUCAAAUAUGUGACCCUUUAUAAUUGAAUAAGAUAUAUAAUAAAACUAAUUAGAUUAUGAUAAUGGAUAUUAGCCAAUAGAAAGAAAGUUUAUAUUAUAGUAUGAUUCCUUAGGGGGUGCCCUUGAUGGGAGGAACUCUCUUAAUUAUUUAUCAUAGACUCUCUACUCUCGUCUAUAAAUAGAUGGGACCUCAUAGGGACUAAUGACAUGAUGUUUAUAUGAUGUAAUGGUCAUGAACACAUACACGAGAUACAAUAUGUGACAAUGAGAGAUUACGAUUCCUUUCUCAUCCUCUCUUGUCUCUGAACCAUUAAUAACUAUAAUCUUGUGAAAAGGUAGAAAGAGAUGAGGAGUGUUUAGUUCUCCUUGUAGAUCGACAUUUGAUAUAAACGAUUUUGCCCCACACAAACUCAUCUACCACUAAGGCCAACACCUAUGGAGAGUUUCAGGUCAUUAGCUUCGAAAUGGCACCAUAGUGUCGAUAACCAUCCUACUUUAUUAAGAUCAAAGAAUAAUCAGGUGAUUUUGCUAAUCUUAUCCAAGGCCAACCAAUAAAAGGCCUAGGGAUCAAGUAUAAAAAGGAACUCAUUAACUCACGCUGAGAGGGGGGACUCUCUAUACACUAACCUAGUCAUACAGCUUACACUACUAUCUUUCCCCUUUCACUGACUUAAGCAUCGGAAGGAAUGCGUUGGGCAACCCCUAAUGCUGGCCUAUCAUGCAAGAUUGCUGACGGUCAAGUGAUGAUCGGACCCAAUCCUUGUCAAUAGAACCUCGUAAUCUUUAAUGCCAUCAUAACCAUCAACUAUUUAUGAUGUGAAUGGCAAAACUGCUCAUUGUUCACUUAAGAAUCUACUCAAUAGAUUUUCACUAGAUAGAGAACAGACAACGACUCGUAAACAUGUCAACUAUCUUACUAGAAACAUACACUAUCUAUGAAACAAUGCCCAAGGCAACUUCUAUCUAGAAAUUAAUAAUAAUUAGAUGAUCAUGUUCACACUAAAAAUAGAAAGUCAUUCAUCCUAUUAUCAUUAACUUAUUAUAUCCAUACCAAGAUUAAGAAAGUAUCCUGAUGAUUAACUUUGAUUUAGAAUCGAUUAUAUUUGAUUUAACAUAUUGACAAACAUUGUAAUUGGUAUAUAUAUCCUUCGACGGAAUCAAAUAAUUUGGGUAAUAUAUCUCACGGCUAAUUCUCACUCUUUAUUAUUUUUCAAUAUCGAAAAAUUAUUCUGUCAGUUUAAGGGAUAUAUACUUGAUCUAGCUAGCUCUUUAUACAAAGUAACUCAAAAUCUCUUUUCAAUUUAUCAUCUCAAAAUUAUUAGAAUACAUGACUCUUUAUAAUUGAAUAAGAUAUAUAAUAAAAUUAAUUAGAUUUUGAUGAAAACUAUUAGUCAAUAGAAAGGAAUAUCAAAAUACGUGCUAAGUGGGAGAAUAUCUUAUAAAUUAAUGGGCCGCCUCCGGUGCUCCAGAGAGCAGCCUUAUGGUUAAUAAAAACACUAUACGUGCUAAGUGGGAAAUUCCUAUGAUGGCUAAUAAAAACACUAUAAUAAACUAAUUUUACUCUUAUUUGGAUGAUAUUAUUGUUAAAUUAUUUUAAAUAUAUGAUAUAUCAAAUGGUUUGUAGUAUGUUUGGAUUUCUCAGUUAUAGUAUUUUUUAAAUAACAUUAUAGUGUUUUUAUAAGGUGUAAAGCAAUUGAAAAAUCUUUGAUUAUCGUUGAUCGUAAAUGUGUAGUUAGUUUGACUGAAUCUAUUCGGGUUAUUUAUAAUAUUUUUAUUAUGAUAAUCAAAAUACUAUAAAAAUUAAUUUUUGAUUCUCAUUUUGAUGACCAAACUAUUGUGUAAAUCAUAUAAAUCAGAUCAUGCUACUGUACAAACCAAUCCAUCAACUUGGAUUCAAACACCGAUAUAUCGGUCUAUAAGGUAUCUAUGAAACUAGUGGGAAAAAUAUCAUUGAGGCUGGUAAGAAAUACUUUCAGUAUUAUUCAAAAUAGAAGGUAUCAUUUGAGAAAUAUGAGACAUCUUUUAGGAAAAUAAUAAUAAAAAAAGUGAGACAUCUUCGAAAUCACCCGAAAACUUUUGCUCACUUGUUUACUAGGGUCUUCUAGACUUUGCAGCAUCAAGAGAGUUCCUCUCCUCCGAACUCCUGUUUACCUAACAUCUCUACGAUGAUCAACAUGCGUUAGGGUGCAAGUCAACUAAAACUUCCCUUGAUCCCGAUAACUCAACAAGAGUAAGCAGUGCUUCAGUUUAAUUUGACCAAGUACGUGCCUGCCAGAGACACUGCAGUUAAUUCUACAAGGCCAAUAAUGUAUGAAUACAUAAGAAAAAGCUCAACGCAAAAGAUUGGAAGAUUAUUUUGAUGUAUUUGUACAGAGAAAACAAUACAACAAAGUCUUUAGAAAAGGAACACACCAAAAGAUUAAAAAUAGGACGAAUGGCUGAGACUAGCAUGCUAUACUAUAUAAGAAUCUGGAGAACCAAGGGUGGAAUCAAAUUCGAGAUUACAUGUUGCUAUUAGGCAAUAAAUUUAGAGAUGCUCUAUUGUCACAUUGAAGCACAAGUUUGUAACAUAAAAAACAACCUGCAUAAUUUGACAUAUUAACUAGACUUCCAGAUCAACUUUUUGUUUGAUAGCUAUUACAGCUUUGACAAAAAUAAGACACCGAACAAAGGAUGCAAAAGAAACAUAUAGUAGCAAAAGCCAAAAAAGUUGAAAUGUGGAUUUUCAUAGUACAUAAACCAGUAUAACUACAUAUCAUAAAUAUAACCAAAGAUUCUAACUGUUAGAAAUAUCUUGACUUCAGUCUGAGUGUGGGUAAAAAACAUUUCAAGAAGGCUGAAAUUGGUGUCAUCUGACAGCGGACAAAAUACAUUUUGGGAAGGGAGAAAUUGGCCUACAAGAAGUCAGCAAGUCUCAUUUCUCUUUCAUUACCUGAAGGCCGGCAAUGGUUGAAUUCUCCCUAGCAAAGUAACUCCUAGAAUUAUAUUUCCUUUUCCAAUUUGUUCAACAUAUACUUACUAAUGUAAUCAAACUAGCACACUGCAGAUGCCAACCUCUGGAAGGUAACACAUACUAAAAGAGCAAUUUCCAAGAACCUUGUUAAUCCACUUCUUUUGCACCAAACACUCCGCAAAUGGAGCUAACACCCCAAGUAUUUUUUAUUGAUAAGAACAAUUUAUGAUCGAUACAAGACAACCUCUGGACAGUAACACCUACUAAAAUAUCAAUUUCCAAGAUCACUGCUAAUCCACUUCUUUUGCACCAAACACCCUGUAAAUGGAGCUAACAAUCAAGCACUUUUGAUUGAUAAGAACAUUUUAUGCACCGAACACUCAAUAUGACCCAACCAAAAAAAUGAGAGGAUCGCACCCUCCGUAAACUUAUGAUCCAGACAUCUGUAACGCACAGAGCACAAUAAUAAUAUUCAUUGACAAUAAUGGAAAAUGCAUCCCAUCAAGUCUCAUCAUUAUUACUGGCGUACACAUCUAACUGUGCUUUUAUUAAAUAUCAGAUAACAAUCUUCACAUUGCUAGAACUGAAAAAUUCUCAAUCCUUAGCUACCCAGCUACGGAUCAUCUGAAAUAUGUACUUUUCAGAUCGAUAGGGAUUAUCUUAGUAGAAACAAGACGUCAAGAAAUCUAGUUGUGUCCCACGCAAUCAGCUAAAGAUAAGAAUAAUAAUGAAAAAAGAGCAUAAAUUAGGAUAAAAGAUCUCACAAAUUCAUCAUGAGAAAAGCACAUCCAUCAGUGCACUUUGCUGCAUCGGAACUCGUCCGAGGGAUGAAGCUACCUCCUUAUAGACUAAAUUCAUAUCACAUUACCUGCUAUUAGUCCAUUACUAGGAUCAAGUGGUGCCCGGCAACAGUCGAAAUACGCAUUUCUAUAGAUGCAAGGAAUAUCUUAUAAGCUUGUUUGACGACUACUAAUCCCUUUCAAAAUUGCCUACGAAUAAUGACAAUGUUGUUCAAUCAUCCAUAUAUGUAUAUAUCAACAUGCUGCACAACCAUGCAACAACAACCUUUCACAUACUCAAGCAUCCAACUUAUGCAUCAUGGCACUUCUAACAAAUAUUAAUAUGCGUCAAUUAUAGGCUAAAAUAGACGCAUCAAUAUAAAAUUUAUUGCCAAAAGAAAUAUGAACUAAUAACAGCAUAUUAAAAUUUCAUCACAUCAGCAUACAGAGAAUCUAGGUUUUAUGAGGCACCUAACACUAUAUUGCUCAUCCAAAUUGGAUACAGAGUUCAAAAAAGUUAUUAUCGAUUUACAAUUCAGUCCUUGAAAUUUACAAUCAUUUCUUCAUUACAUUGCAAACCAGUCCCUAGCAGUCUUAAUGGGCAGGCCCUUAGGCAGCCACGUGGAACUUGGUCUCAAAGGCAGGACCACAUGGAGUUGGCCUGUCUGAGCUGAAGUGCAUGAAGUUUAGACCACCCCCGUACUAAAAUGCUUAAAUUGGUAAAGGACAACUUGUACAUUCCAGUGCUUAAAUUGAGAACAAAACAUUGUCAAUACGGAAAGUGUGGUUUCCUUCAUAAAUCUAAGAGUUACAACUUCAUUCUCAAGAAGACAGUCAGCUUCAAACUAUCAUGGUGGCAACCUGGUAUUCAUUAAGGUUUUGCACUUAUAAAGAGAGAAAUUUCAACUGAAUUGACCGAUCAGCAAGAGGAAAGAAGUGGUUCAAACUAAUCACUUAAGAAAGAGAACAAAGUUUGAUAAACAAAAUAUACAAAAAAUUGAAACGCAACCUCAUCUACCUUUUUUGGGUUUUCGGUUUGGUUUAGGAUAUGAGGGACUUUAGUAAAUUUAUAUAAAAGGUGACCAACCCUUGCCCUAAAUCAAAAGCCUCAUCAUCCAGCUCAAAAUCACCAAAGCAUCCUACCAUACCAUCCAAAAGAAUCCUACUUCUUAUCAUUUGAAAAAAUAACCAAAACUCGAAACCUAACUUAGCAAAUAUCCAUAGUUAAAUCAAUCAAAACUUCACGUGUCCAAUAACCUACAUAAGUCUGAUAUCUUCCAGUAGACUUAAAACGAAUGGGACAAGAAUAACAAUUCCAUGUGGCGUCUACACAAGUGAUUAUCAACAAGCAAUUAACUCUAUCGGCAAUAUCAUCACAAAUCUUCUCAACAUUCUUCAUUUUCUUACUACGUGUAAGCAUCCAAACUCAUCUUACAUUCACAGAAAACGAAGUAAAUGGCAGGAAUUAUUUGGUCGCAAACUGUAGAUCAUGUUAUGCGGAUAGUGGAAAAUUGGAACCUGGAAACAUAACUUGCUGGUACAAAAGUUUGUGCUAUGCAUUAUGCAUUUCCACGAUCAAAUGCAGUUCUGUUUUUGGGGACUCCAUUAUACAACUCAAUGAGUUCUGGAUACUCCUUGUAGCGGUUGACGAACUUCUCCACAAAUUUCUUCUCUGGAUAUUUCGCGUAUGUAGACAUACUAAGGUUACUGAUGCAAACUCCCCUAGACUUCAGGCCUGUCACAAUCUGAUGCCUUGGCAUCAACCUUUUCUCCAAACUGCACAACAAAAUAUCUGGCCGAAGAGCAAGAUGAGAUGGAGCACAUCCGGCUUCAUUUACCAAGAACUCCAUCUUCCUCUGCAAACUCUUUAAAGAUAAUCCCACAAGCGUAGGAACCUUUCUGAAUGCAGCAAGGAAAUCAUCCUCGGACCACCCGAAGCCCUUGAAGAACUCCAAGUGAGCCUUGAAGUUCUUCUCGGUGAUUCUCUGGAGCACACACAGGGUAAGGGGGAAGAUCCCUGAGGUGCGAGGUACUCCCAAACCCUCGACACGACUGAUUAACGCCUUCAGGGUUUCAGCAUUCCGGGUUAUAAGGAGGGGGCGGUGCCGUAUGAUCAUUGAGAGCUUCUGAUCCGUGAUCCCGCAAUCCCUUAGAAUUUCAAUGUUAGGCUGGAUCGUCUUCUCGAUGCUAUACCCGAGAAACCUCCUGUUUUUCUUGCACAAGUUUACCAAAAAGUCGUUGGACUCGAGGAGGUCUUGCCAUAAUUGGAUCUUGGACAAGAUGUUCUCGGAUUUGUCGCUGGUGACGUCGUUAUUCGAUCUGACGAGGUGGGUGAUGUCGGAGCAGGAGAAGCCCAGAUCCUGCAAAGCUCGGAACUUUGGAGCCAGGGUCUUCUCCACGUCGAGGAGAAGCCACCGGGGGUUUGCAGAUAUGACCUUUUUCACCUGGGUGUUGUCAAAACCGUAGCUUUUAAAUAAGCCAAGGACGGAGUCAGGCUGGUGGCGGGAUUCGACGCCGCCAAGGAGCUUCGAGGCUUUGGCCGCCUGAUCUGGAUCGAAGCCACAGGAGCUGACCAGGUAUUCAGCCAUAAGGCUGCUCUGUGGAGCACCGGAGGUGGCGGAGUAAGAAUGGGUUGCGAGAAAAAGGGCAGCAUCGGCCGGACGACAGCAAGGGACGAAGGCAAGGGCUUUGGACAAGAGAGAGACGUAGGGCGACCUAUUCAUCAAUGUCAUCGUCUUCUUCUUCUUCUUCGUAGGUUCCUUCUCUUUACCAAAACCUAGCGAAGGUGGCGUAGUUGCGUAUAGAGGAGCGCGAUUAGGCCGGAAGUACCUGCGUCUUAAACCCUAGAAGUGCGUUACCGUGUUCGACAUUUUUCUGGUUGGCUAGUUAUUCCCUAGUCAUUUUACUGGUUAGCCUUGGAUAAGAUUAGUUAAAUCACUUGAUCAUUUUUUGAUCUUAAUAAGGUAGGGUGGUUAUCAGAAUACACUAUGGUGCCAUUUCGGAGCUGGUGAUCUGGAACUCUCCAUAGGUGUCGGCCUUGUGACAGAUGAGUUGGCGUAGGGCAAAAUCGUCUCUAUCAAAUGUCGAUAUACAAGGAGAACCAAACAUUCAUCUCUUUCUACCUUUUCACAAGACUAUAGUUAUUAAUGUUUCAGAGACAAGAGAGGAUGAAAAAAGAAUCGUAAUCUCUCAAUGUCACAUAUAGUAUCUCGUGUAUGUGUCCACGUGUAUGUGUCCAUGACCGUCACAUCAUAUAAACAUCAUGUCAUUAGCCCCUAGGAGGUCCGAUAUAUUUAUAGGUGAGAGUUGAGGAUCAAUGAUAAGUAAUUAGGAGAGUUUCUCCUAUCAAGAGCGUCCCUUAAGAAAUCAUACUAUAAUCUGAAUAUCCUUUAUACUGGCUAAUAUCCGUUAUCAGAAUUCAAUCAAUUUUAUUAUAUAUCUUAUUCAAUUAUAAAGGGUCACAUAUUUUGAUAUUCUCCUACUUAGCUCAUAUAUUCUCUAUCUUUGCCCAUAGUUUGAUAUUCCUUUUUAUAGAUUAAUAUUCGUAAUCAAAAUCUAAUUAAUUUUAUUAUAUAUCUUAUUCAAUUAUAAAGAGUCCUGUAUUCUAACAAUUUUGAUAUGACAAAUUGAAAAGAUGUUUUGAGUUACUUUGCAUAAAGAGCUAGCUAGAUCAAGUAUAAAUCCCUUAAUAUGAGAGAAUAAUUCUCCAAUACUGAAAAAUAAUAAAGAGUGAGAAGAAACCUUUAUAAAGGUGAGAUAUAUUACUCAAACUAUUUAAUUCCGUAAAAGGAUAUUUAUACUAAUUAUAAUGCUUGUCAAUAUGUUAAUCAAAUAUAAUCAAUUCUAAAUCAGGAUGCACCUUCUUAAUCUUAGUAUGGAUAUAAUAAGUUAAUAAUUGUGAGAUGAAUGACUUUCUAUUUUUAUGGUGAACAUGAUCAUCUAAUUACUAUUAAUUUCUAGAUAGAAGUUGCUUGAGGCUUUGUUUCAUAGAUAGCAUAUGUUUGUAGCAAUUCUAAGUAGCAAGAUAGUUGACGUGUUUGCGAGUCUCUAUCAGUUCCCUAUUUGAUAAAAAUCUAUUGAGUAGAUUCUCAAGUGAACAAUGAGCAAUUUUGCCAUUCAUAUCAUAAAUAGUUGAUGCUUAUGAUGAUAUUUAAGAUUACAUGAACAUUUUAUUGUUGACUUAAACUUGAUAAUUAGAGUAGCAUAGGUAUUAAUCCAUCAAAUUUUAUGAUGAAUAAGUUGAUUUCUAGCAGUAAUUCAUGCAUGUUGGGUCUUUUAUAAAAGAAAAAAUUCUAGUAUUAUUUUUUUUUAUUGAUGAAACCUUCCAUAUUCAUUUUUACUUAGGUUUUUUUUAUUUAGACAAAAAACACUCUUAUAUUUUUUGCUUAUGUGACUUAAUCAUAGAUAUUAUUUAAAUAAAUUAUAAUUUGAUAAUUAAUUAUAAAAAAAACUAAAAUAAAAAAUAGAUAUUAAUCAUCUUCGAUGCAUAUCUAUUGAUUUUAAAAUGAUUAGCAUAGUUCUUUUUUUUUUUUUUUUUAAUUAUGAUAAUUAAUUAUCAAUUUUUUAAUAGCUGAUCAAGUCAUUUUUAAUAGAAGAUUAAGGGUAUAUUUUUGUUCAUACUAUAAAAAAUAAACCCUAGAUAAAAAUAAAUAUAGGGAUGCUAUCCGAUAAAAAAAUAAUAGUGCAAUUUUUUUCUAAGAGAACACCUUUUAUUAUCUUUAGUUGGCACGCAAUAAAAGUUUUUUCUCCCCUCAACAAACUAAAAGUUGACGAAGCAAAAAAAAAGACGCCUGCGGUCGCAGUAAUCUCCGCCCGAAAAAAAAUUCUCGAACACGGUAACGCACUUAUAGGGUUUAAGACGCAGGUACUUCCGGCCUAAACGCGCUCUUCUAUACGCAGCUACGCCACCUUCGCUAGGUUUUGGGAAAGCGAAGGAACCUACAAAGAAGAAGAAGAAGACGAUGACAUUGAUGAAUAGGUCGCCCUACGUCUCUCUCUUGUCCAAAGCCCAUGCCUUCGUCCCUUGCUGUCGUCCGGCCGAUGCUGCCCAUUUUCUCGCAACCCAUUCUUACUCCGCCGCCUCCGGUGCUCCACAGAGCAGCCUUAUGGCUGAAUACCUGGUCAGCUCCUGUGGCUUCGAUCCUGAUCAGGCGGCCAAAGCCUCGAAGCUCCUUGGCCACGUCGAAUCCCGCCACCAGCCUGACUCCGUCCUUGGCUUAUUUAAAAGCUACGGUUUUGACAACACCCAGGUGAAAAAGGUCAUAUCUACAAACCCCCGGUGGCUUCUCCUCGACGUGGAGAAGACCCUGGCCCCAAAGUUCCGAGCUUUGCAGGAUCUGGGCUUCUCCUGCUCCGACAUCACCCACCUCGUCAGAUCGAAUAACCACGUCAUCAGCCACAAAUCCCAGAACAUCUUGUCCAAGAUCCAAUUAUGGCAAGGCCUCCUGGGGUCCAACGACUUACUGAUGAAGAUAUGGAAGAGAAACAGGUGGUUUCUCGGGUAUAGCUUCGAGAAGACGAUCCAGCCUAGCAUUGAAAUUCUAAGGGAUUGCGGGAUCACGGAUCAGAAGCUCUCAAUGAUCAUACCGCAAUAUCCCCUCCUUAUAACCCGGAAUGCUGAAACCCUGAAGGCGUUAAUCAGUCGUGUCGAGGGUUUGGGAGUACCUCGCACCUCGAGGAUGUUCCUCCUGAUCCUGAGUGUGCUCCUGAGCGUCUCCGAGAAGAACUUCAAGGCUCACUUGGAGUUCUUCAAGGGCUUCGGGUGGUCCGAGGAUGAUUUCCUUGCUGCAUUCAGAAAGGCUCCUACGUUUGUGCAAUUAUCUUUAAAGAGUUUGCAGAGGAAGAUGGAGUUCUUGGUAAAUGAAGCAGGAUGUGCUCCAUCUCAUCUUGCACUUCGGCCAGAUAUUUUGUUGUGCAGUUUGGAGAAAAGGUUGAUGCCAAGGCAUCAGAUUGUGACAGGCCUGAAGUCUAGGGGAGUUUGCAUCAGUAACCUUAAUAUGUCUACAUACAUGAAAUAUCCAAAGAAGAAAUUUGNNNNNNNNNNNNNNNNNNNNNNNNNNNNNNNNNNNNNNNNNNNNNNNNNNNNNNNNNNNNNNNNNNNNNNNNNNNNNNNNNNNNNNNNNNNNNNNNNNNNNNNNNNNNNNNNNNNNNNNNNNNNNNNNNNNNNNNNNNNNNNNNNNNNNNNNNNNNNNNNNNNNNNNNNNNNNNNUGGAGUUCUUGGUAAAUGAAGCAGGAUGUGCUCCAUCUCAUCUUGCACUUCGGCCAGAUAUUUUGUUGUGCAGUUUGGAGAAAAGGUUGAUGCCAAGGCAUCAGAUUGUGACAGGCCUGAAGUCUAGGGGAGUUUGCAUCAGUAACCUUAAUAUGUCUACAUACAUGAAAUAUCCAAAGAAGAAAUUUGUGGAGAAGUUCGUCAACUGCUACAAGGAGUAUCCAGAACUCGUUGAGUUGUAUAAUGGAGUCCCCAAAAACAGAACUGCAUUUGAUCGUGGAAAUGCAUAAUGCAUAGCACAAGCUUUUGUACCAGCAAGUUAUGUUUCCAGGUUCCAAUUUUCCACUAUCCGCAUAACAUGAACUACAGUUUGCAACCAAAUAAUUCCUGCCAUUUACUUCGUUUUCUGUGAAUGUAAGAUGAGUUUGGAUGCUUACAUGUAGUAAGAAAAUGAAGAAUGUUGAGAAGAUUUGUGAUGAUAUUGCUGAUAGAGUUAAUUGCUUGUUGAUAAUCACUUGUGUAGACGCCACAUGGAAUUGUUAUUCUUGUCCCAUUCGUUUUAAGUCUACUGGAAGAUAUCAGACUUAUGUAGGUUAUUGGACACGUGAAGUUUUGAAUUGAUUUAACUAUGGAUAUUUGGUAAUUUAGGUUUCGAGUUUUGGUUAUUUUUUCAAAUGAUAAGAAGUAGGAUUCUUUUGGAUGGUAUGGUAGGAUGCUUUGGUGAUUUUGAGCUGGAUGAUGAGGCUUUUGAUUUAGGGCAAGGGUUGGUCACCUUUUAUAUAAAUUUACUAAAGUCCCUCCUAUCCAAAACCAAACCCAAAACCCAAAAAAGGGAGAUGAGGUUGCGUUUCAAUUUUUUGUAUAUUUUGUUUAUCAAACUUUGUUCUCUUUCUUAAGUGAUUAGUGUGAACCACUUCUUUCCUCUUGCUGAUCGGUCAAUUCAGUUGAAAUUUCUCUCUUUAUAAAUGCAAAACCUUAAUGAAUACCAGGUUGCCACCAUGAUAGUUUGAAGCUGACUGUCUUCUUGAGAAUGAAGUUGUAACUCUUAAAUUUAUGAAGGAAACCACACUUUCCGUAUUGACAAUGUUUUGUUCACAAUUUAAGCACUGGAAUAUACAAGUUGUCCUUUACCAAUUUAAGCAUUUGAGUACGGGGGUGGUCUAAACUUCAUGCACUUCAGCUCAGACUGGCCAACUCCAUGUGGUCCUGCCUCUGAGACCAAGUUCCACGUGGCUGCCUAAGGUCCUGCCCAUUAAGACUGCUAGGGACUGGUUUGCAAUGUAAUGAAGAAAUGAUUGUAAAUUUCAAGGACUGAAUUGUAAAUCGAUAAUAACUUUUUUGAACUCUGUAUCCAAUUUGGAUGAGCAAUAUAGUGUUAGGUGCCUCAUAAAACCUAGACUCUCUUUAUGCUGACAUGAUGAAAUUUUAAUAUGCUGUUAUUAGUUCAUAUUUCUUUUGGCAAUCAAUUUUAUAUUGAUGCGUCUAUUAUAGCCUAUAAUUGACGCAUAUUAAUAUUUGUUAGAAGUUCCAUGAUGCAUAAGCUGGACGCUUGAGCAUGUGAAAGGAUGUUGUUGCAUGGUUGUGCAGCAUGUUGAUAUACACAUAUAUGGAUGAUUGAACAACAUUGUCAUUAUUUGUAGGCAAUUUUGAAAGGGAUUAUCAGUUGUCAAAAAAGCUUAUAAGAUAUUCCUUGCAACUAUAGAAAGACAUAUUUCUACUGUUUCCCGGCACCACUUGAUCCUAGUAAUGGACUAAUAGCAGGGAAUGUGAUAUGAAUUUAGUCUAUAAGGAGGUUGCUUCAUCCUGAGCAGUCGGACGAGUUCCGAUGCAGCAAAGUGCAUUGAUGGAUGUGCUUUUCUCAUGAUGAAUUUGUGAGAUCUUUUAUUCUAAUUUAUUCUAUUUUUCAUUAUUAUUCUUAUCUUUAGUUGAUUGCAUGAGACACAACUAUAUUUCUUGACGUCUUGUUUCUACUAAGAUAAUCCCUAUCGAUCUGAAAAUUACAUAUUUCAGAUGAUCCAUAGCUGGGGAGCUAAGGAUUGAGAAGUGUUCGGUUCUAGCAAUGUGAAGAUUGUUAUCUGAUAUUUAAUAAAAGUACAGUUAGAUGUGUACGCCAGUAAUAAUGAUGAGACUUGAUGGGAUCCAUUUUCCAUUAUUGUCAAUGAAUAUUAUUAUUGUGCUCUGUGCAUUACAGAUGUCUGGAUCAUGAGUUUACGGAGGGUGUGAUCCUCUCAUUUUUUGGGUUGGGUCAUAUUGAGUGUUCGGUGCAUAAAAUGUUCUUAUCAAUCAAAAGUACUUGAUUGUUAGCUCCAUUUACAGGGUGUUUGGUGCAAAAGAAGUGGAUUAGCAGUGAUCUCGGAAAUUGCUAUUUUAGUAGGUGUUACUGUCCAGAGGUUGUGUUGUAUCGAUCAUAAAUUGUUCUUAUCAAUAAAAAAUACUUGGGGUGUUAGCUCCAUUUGCGGAGUGUUUGGUGCAAAAGAAGUGGAUUAACAAGGUUCUUGAAAAUUGAUCUUUUAGUAUGUGUUACCUUCCAGAGGUUGGCAUCUGCAGUGUGCUAGUUUGAUUACAUUAGUAAGGAUAUGUUGAACAAAUUGGAAAAGGAAAUAUAAUUCUAGGAGUUACUUUGCUAGGGAGAAUUCAACCAUUGCCUGCCUUCAGGUAAUGAAAGAGAAAUGAGACUUGCUGACUUCUUGUAGGCCAAUUUCUCCCUUCCCAAAAUGUAUUCUGUCCGCUGUCAGAUGACACCAAUUUCAGCCUUCCUGAAAUGUGUUUUACCCACAGUCAGACUGAAGUCAAGAUAUUUCUAACAGUUAGAAUCUUUGGUUAUAUUUAUGAUAUGUAGUUAUACUGGUUUAUGUACUAUGAAAAUCCACAUUUCAACUUUUUUGGCUUUUGCUACUAUAUGUUUCUUUUGCAUCCUUUGUUUGGUGUCUUAUUUUUGUCAAAGCUGUAAUAGCUAUCAAACAAAAAGUUGAUCUGGAAGUCUAGUUAAUAUGUCAAAUUAUGCAGGUUGUUUUUAUGUUACAAACUUGUGCUUCAAUGUGACAAUAGAGCAUCUCUAAAUUUAUUGCCUAAUGGCAACAUGUAAUCUCAAAUUUGAUUCCAGCCCUUGGUUCUCCAGAUUCAUAUAUGCUAUUCUGUUGUAGUAUAGCAUGAUAGUCUCAGCCAUUCGUCCGAUUUUUAAUAUUUUGGUGUGUUCCUUUUCUUAAGACUGUUGUUUUGUUGUCUCUGGACAAAUACGUCAAUAUAACUUCCCUGAGGUAUUGUAGCAUGCUAAUCUCCAGUAAAUGUUGUAUGUGUCCUAGUUCCAAUCUUUUGCAUUGUGCUUUUUCUUAGGUAUUCAUACAUUAUUGGCCUUUUAGAAUUAACAGCAGUGUAUCUGGCAGGUAGGUACUUGGUUAAAUUAAACUGAAGCACUGCUUACUCUUGUUGAGUUAUCAGGAUCAAGAGAAGUUUUAGAUGACUUGCACCCUAUGGCAUGUUGAUCAUCGUAGAGAUGUUUUCCUGACAAAGGCUUGACUCGUUAUCAGCGAAGAAUUAUACAUGUACUGUACUGCCUCAGAACUAGCUGCUGGAUAGGGUCAGUGAGAGAAUAUCAAAUAUGUGACCCUUUAUAAUUAAAUAAAAUAUAUAAUAAAAUUGAUUAGAUUCUGAUAACGGAUAUUAGUUAAUAAAAAAAAAGUUUAUAUUAUAAUAGGAUUUCUUAGGGUGUAUCCUUGAUGGGAGGAACUCUCCUAAUUAUUUAUCAUAGACUUUCUACUCUCGUCUAUAAAUGGAUAGGACCUCAUAGAGACUAAUGACAUGAUAUUUAUGUGAUGUAACGGUCAUGAACACAUACACGAGAUACGAUAGGUGACAUUAAGAGGUUACGAUUCCGAGAUACGAUAGGUGACAUUAAGAGGUUACGAUUCCUUUCUAAUUCUCUCUUGUCUCUGAACCAUUAAUAACUAUAGUCUUGUGAAAAGGUAGAAAGAGAUGAAGAGUGUUUAGUUCUCCUUGUAGAUCAGUUUUGCUGACAAACAAAUUCCUUGAUUUGUGCGCUGUAGUAGUAGGGUCAUUUAGACUUUGCAGCAUCAGAGAGUUCUCUUCCCAACUCCUGUUUACUUAACAAUGAGCAUGAAUAUACGCCUAUGACAAAAAAUUCCAUUUGGUGCCUUCAAAAUAUUGCUGCAGAAACUAAAUCCGGUGAAGAAAUGAAUGCCAUUUGCCCUUCACUUGCAUCUCAUAGGAGCAAAAGAAGGGGAAAAUAAUCUGGGCAUAAAAUCUAGUUAGCUAGAAUUUGGAUGCUUUCAUCUCAAGAAAUCUCUCUUUUUAUCUUUUCUUAAAGAUCAGUAGAUUCAAUGUACAGGGCAUUGCAGUUUUCUUCCUGUUUCUUCCUUUCUUUCUUUUCUUUUGGAAAAACAAAAGGAUGAUGAGAAUAUGCACAUUUUGGUUAUAUAAUAUCAACAAUGAUGAGAAUAAGAACAAUGAUAUGAAAGCAGACAGGACCAAUAAAUAAGUUUUCAGAAAUAACAACUGAUAAGUCGUCAAAUGAACACCUGUGCUGUGUACAUCAGUCUUCAGAGUUUAAAUUCCACAUCAUACUUCACUUGAUCAACAUCAAUAUGGUGGAAACAAAUUUAAAAGAAAGUUCAGUUUGAUAUGAUGUAAAACAAGAUAUCUCAUUAUUGGUUUGAUCUAAUUACAAAAAGUUAUGCUCAUAUCUAUAUCAUUUCUUAGUCUAGAGUAUAUUUGAACACACAACAAUAACAAUAAUUGCAAGCCAUAAUGAGCAGAUUCAACAUCUCACCUAUCAGAAAUCUUAAAUCGGGAAGCAGGGAUGAUACCGCAUUACCAACAAAACCUGAUAAUAACGAGAAAAAUAAAUUGAUCUUGUUUAGCGAACAAUUUUAGAGGGCAUAAAAACCUAGAACAUAUAUAGUUCUACAAGUUGAAAGGAUCUCAGUCCUUUUAGAGACAAAAUCCCCCACAAAAAGUAUCAACCCUUGCAAAGAGCAUCAGUCUUUUCCUACUGAAAGAACCUGACCCUAUCCAGCAGCUAGUUCUGAGGCAGUACAGUACAUGUAUAAUUCUUCACUGAUAACGGGUCAAGCCUUUGUCAGGAAAACAUCUCUACGAUGAUCAACAUGCGAUAGGGUGCAAGUCAUCUAAAACAUCUCUCGAUCCUGAUAACUCAACAAGAGUAAGCAGUGCUUCAGUUUAAUUUAACCAAGUACCUACCUGCCAGAUACACUGCUGUUAAUUCUCAAAGGCCAAUAAUGUAUGAAUACCUAAGAAAAAGCACAAUGCAAAAGAUUGGAACUAGGACACAUACAACAUUUACUGGAGAUUAGCAUUCUACAAUACCUCAGGGAAGAUUAUUUUAACGUAUUUGUCCAGAGACAACAAUACAAUAAAGUCUUAAGAAAAGGAACACACCAAAAGAUUAAAAAUUGGACGAAUGGCUGAGACUAGCAUGCUAUACUACAACAGAAUAGCAUAUAUAAGAAUCUGGAGAACCAAGGGCUGGAAUCAAAUUCGAGAUUACAUGUUGCCAUUAGGCAAUAAAUUUAGAGAUGCUCUAUUGUCACAUUGAAGCACAAGUCUCAUUUCUCUUUCAUUACCUGAAGGCAGGCAAUGGUUGAAUUCACCCUAGCAAAGUAACUCCUAGAAUUAUAUUUCCUUUUCCAAUUUGUUCAACAUAUCCUUACUAAUGUAAUCAAACUAGCACACUGCAGAUGGCAACCUCUGGAUGUUAACACAUACUAAAAGAGCAAUUUCCAAGAACCUUGUUAAUCCACUUCUUUUGCACCAAACACUCCGCAAAAGGAGCUAACACCCCAAGUAUUUUUUAUUGAUAAGAACAAUUUAUGAUCGAUACAACACAACCUCUGGACAGUAACACCUACUAAAAUAGCAAUUUCCGAGAUCACUGCGAAUCCACUUCUUUUGCACCAAACACCCUGCAAAUGGAGCUAGCAAUCAAGUACUUUUGAUUGAUAAGAACAUUUUAUGCACCGAACACUCAAUACGACCCAAUCCAUAAAAUGAGAGGAUCACACCCUCCAUAAACUUAUAAGCCAGACAUCUGUAACGCACAGAGCACAAUAAUAAUAUUCAUUGACAAUAACUGAAAAUACAUCCCAUCAAGUGUCAUCAUUAUUACUGGAGUAAACAUCUAACUAUACUUUUAUUAAAUAUCAUAUAACAAUCUUCACCUUGCUAGAACCGAACACUUCUCAAUCCUUAGUUCCCCAGCUACGGAUCAUCUGAAAUAUGUAAUUUUCAGAUCGAUAGGGAUUAUCUUAGUAGAAACAAGAUAUCAAGAAAUCUAGUUGUGUCUCAUGCAAUCAGCAAAAGAUAAGAAUAAUAAUAAAAAAAGAGCAUAACUUAGAAUAAAAGAUCUCACAAAUUCAUCAUGAGAAAAGCACAUCCAUUAGUGCACUUUGUUGCAUUGGAACUCGUCCGACUGCUCAGGAUGAAGCAACCUCCUUAUAGACUAAAUUCAUAUCACAUUCCCUGCUAUUAGUCCAUUACUAGGAUCAAGUGGUGCCCGGCAACAGUAGAAAUACGUCUUUCUAUAGAUGCAAGGAAUAUCUUAUAAGCUUGUUUGACGAAUACUAAUCCCUUUCAAAAUUGCCUACUAAUAAUGACAAUGUUGUUCAAUCAUCCAUAUAUGUAUAUAUCAACAUGCUGCACAACCAUGCAACAACAUCCUUUCACAUGCUCAAGCAUCCAACUUAUGCAUCAUGGCACUUCUAACAAAUAUUAAUAUGCGUCAAUUAUAGGCUACAAUAGACGCAUCAAUAUAAAAUUGAUUGCCAAAAGAAAUAUGAACUAAUAACAGCAUAUUAAAAUUUCAUCAUGUCAGCAUAAAGAGAAUCUAGGUUUUAUGAGGCACCUAACACUAUAUUGAUCAUCCAAAUUGGAUACAGAGUCCAAAAAAGUUAUUAUCGAUUUACAAUUCAGUCCUUGAAAUUUACAAUCAUUUCUUCAUUACAUUGCAAACCAGUCCCUAGCAGUCUUAAUGGGCAGGACCUUAUGCAGCCACGUGGAACUUGGUCGCUCAGGCCGGACCACAUGGAGUUGGCCAGUCUGAGCUGAAGUGCAUGAAGUUUAGACCACCCCCGUAUUCAAAUGCUUAAAUUGGUAAAGGACAACUUGUAUAUUCCAGUGCUUAAAUUGAGAACAAAACAUUGUCAAUACGGAAAGUGUGGUUUCCUUCAUAAAUUUAAGAGUUACAACUUCAUUCUCAAGAAGACAGUCAGCUUCAAACUAUCAUGGUGGCAACCAGGUAUUCAUUAAGGUUUUGCAUUUAUAAAGAGAGAAAUUUCAACUGAAUUGACCGAUCAGCAAGAGGAAAGAAGUGGUUCAAACUAAUCACUUAAGAAAGAGAACAAAAUUUGAUAAACAAAAUAUACAAAAAAUUGAAACCCAACCUCAUUUCCCUUUUUUGGGUUUUGGGUUUGGAUUUGGAUAGGAGAGGCUUUAAUAAAUUUAUAUAAAAGAUGACCAACCCUUGCCCUAAAUCAAAAGCCUCAUCAUCCAGCUCAAAAUCACCAAAGCAUCCUACCGUACCAUCCAAAAGAAUCCUACUUCUUAUCAUUUGAAAAAUUAACCAAAACUCGAAACCAAAAUUACCAAAUAUCCAUAGUCAAAUCAAUUCAAAACUUCAGGUGUCCAAUAACCUACAUAAGUCUGAUAUCUUCUAGUAGACUUAAAACGAAUGGGACAAGAAUAACAAUUCCAUGCGGCAUCUACACAAGAGAUUAUCAACAAGCAAUUAACUCUAUCGGCAAUAUCAUCGCAAAUCUUCUCAAUAUUCUUCAUUUUCUUACUACAUGUAAGCAUCCAAACUCAUCUUACAUUCACAGAAAACGAAGUAAAUGGCAGGAAUUAUUUGGUUGCAAACUGUAGAUCAUGUUAUGCAGAUAGUGGAAAAUUGGAACCUGGAAACAUAACUUGCUGGUACAAAAGCUUGUGCUAUGCAUUAUGCAUUUCCACGAUCAAAGUGCAGUUCUGUGUUUGGGGGCUACAUUAUACAACUCAAUGAGUUCUGGAUACUCCUUGUAGCAGUUGACGAACUUCUCCACAAAUUUCUUCUCUGGAUAUUUCAUGUAUGUAGACAUACUAAGGUUACUGAUGCAAACUCCCCUAGACUUCAGGCCUGUCAAAAUCCGAUGCCUUGGCAUCAACCUUUUCUCCAAACUCAUCAACAAAAUAACUGGCCGAAGUGCAAGAUAAGAUGGAGCACAUCUGGCUUCAUUUACCAAGAACUCCAUCUUCCUCUGCAAACUCUUUAAAGAAAAUCGCACAAACGUAGGAGCCUUUCUGAAUGCAGCAAGGAAAUCAUCCUCGGACCACCCGAAGCCCUUGAAGAACUCCAAGUGAGCCUUGAAGUUCUUCUCGGAGACGCUCUGGAGCACACUCAGGAUCAGGAGGAACAUCCCCGAGGUGCGAGGUACUCCCAAACCCUCGACACGACUGAUUAACGCCUUCAGGGUUUCAGCAUUCCGGGUUAUGAGGAGGGGAUAUUGCCGUAGGAUCAUUGAGAGCUUCUGAUCCGUGAUCCCGCAAUCCCUUAGAAUUUCAAUGUUAGGCUGGAUUCUCUUCUCGAUGCUAUACCCGAGAAACCUCCUGUUCUUCUUGCACAAGUUCACCAAAAAGUCGUUGGACCCGAGGAGGCCUUGCCAUAAUUGGAUCUUGGACAAGAUGGUCUGGGAUUUGUGGCUGAUGAAGUGGUUAUUCGAUCUGACGAGGUGGGUGAUGUCGGAGCAGGAGAAGCCCAGAUCCUGCAGAGCUCGGAACUUUGGGGCCAGGGUCUUCUCCACGUCGAGAAGAAGCAACCGGGGGUUUGCAGAUAUGACCUUUUUCAAGUGGGUGUUGUCAAAACCGUAGCUUUGAAAUAAGCCAAG
This 31794-nucleotide long non-coding RNA is filed under the name Musa acuminata (dwarf banana). RNAcentral's name for it is "long non-coding RNA (MACU_LNC001705)". The record is from RNAcentral. Lineage: Eukaryota; Viridiplantae; Streptophyta; Magnoliopsida; Zingiberales; Musaceae.